This 138-nucleotide transfer RNA is filed under the name Penicillium rubens. RNAcentral's name for it is "tRNA-Pro". The record is from RNAcentral. Lineage: Eukaryota; Fungi; Ascomycota; Eurotiomycetes; Eurotiales; Aspergillaceae.
GCCCGGAUGGUCUAGUGGUACGUUCCAAUUAAGUACCCUGUAACCAUCUUCCCUGCUAACUCAUCUUAGGUAUGAUUCUCCGUUUGGGUUCACAUCUCAAAUUCGGAGAGGCCGCGUGUUCGAAUCGCGCUUCGGGCC